RNAcentral lists this ribosomal RNA (465 nucleotides) under Capnocytophaga gingivalis. Its description in RNAcentral is "bacterial SSU rRNA". It matches the Rfam family "Bacterial small subunit ribosomal RNA", at positions 28 to 493 of the family's 1533-position model. Lineage: Bacteria; Pseudomonadati; Bacteroidota; Flavobacteriia; Flavobacteriales; Flavobacteriaceae. The record is from RNAcentral.
GAUGAACGCUAGCGGCAGGCCUAACACAUGCAAGUCGAGGGAGAAGCCCUUUCGGGGGCAGAAACCGGCGCACGGGUGCGUAACGCGUAUGCAACCUACCUUUCACAGGGGGAUAGCCCGAAGAAAUUUGGAUUAAUACCCCAUAAUAUUAUUGAAUGGCAUCAUUUGAUAAUUAAAACUGCGGUGGUGAAAGAUGGGCAUGCGUCCUAUUAGCUAGUUGGAGUGGUAACGGCACCCCAAGGCUACGAUAGGUAGGGGUCCUGAGAGGGAGAUCCCCCACACUGGUACUGAGACAGGGACCAGACUCCUACGGGAGGCAGCAGUGAGGAAUAUUGGUCAAUGGUCGGAAGACUGAACCAACCAUGCCGCGUGCAGGAAGAAUGCCUUAUGGGUUGUAAACUGCUUUUAUAUGGGAAGAAUAAGGCGUAUCGUGUACGUUGAUGACGGUACCAUAUGAAUAAGCAU